UACGUAGGGUCCGAGCGUUGUCCGGAUUUAUUGGGCGUAAAGGGCUCGUAGGCGGCCAACUAAGUCGGAUGUGAAAUCCCCAGGCUUAACCUGGGAACUGCAUCCGAUACUGGAUGGCUUGAAUCCGGGAGAGGGAUGCAGAAUUCCAGGUGUAGCGGUGAAAUGCGUAGAUAUCUGGAGGAAUACCGGUGGCGAAGGCGGCAUCCUGGACCGGCAUUGACGCUGAUGAGCGAAAGCUAGGGGAGCAAACGGG
Molecule: ribosomal RNA, 253 nt
Filed under: uncultured bacterium
Lineage: Bacteria
Description: partial 16S ribosomal RNA
Rfam family: Bacterial small subunit ribosomal RNA
Source: RNAcentral